Melanotaenia boesemani (Boeseman's rainbowfish) is the source of this 97-nucleotide long non-coding RNA. RefSeq lists it as uncharacterized. The transcript has 4 exons. Lineage: Eukaryota; Metazoa; Chordata; Actinopteri; Atheriniformes; Melanotaeniidae. The record is from RefSeq and is a predicted model, not a curated record.
UCUGGUCUCCCUAUGAUCUCUGACAGCGCUGAAGAGGCCCUGCAGGACUGCUUUGACUGCACAGACUGGGAUGCACUCUGCCUGCCUCAUGAGGACA